Nematostella vectensis (starlet sea anemone) is the source of this 1353-nucleotide long non-coding RNA. RefSeq lists it as uncharacterized. The record is from RefSeq and is a predicted model, not a curated record. The transcript is spliced from 2 exons. Lineage: Eukaryota; Metazoa; Cnidaria; Anthozoa; Actiniaria; Edwardsiidae.
AUUCUUACUCCUGGCAUUUUUUAUGAUUUCUAGGAUGGCAAAAGAGUGGCUGUGAGAGAAACUUCCUGGAAAACUCAUUGCUGGAAUGUUUCUAGAUUUAUGAAGUUCGUUCUCUUGUGCAUCCCAACGUGCCCUUAAUAAGCCAGUCUGUUUAGAUAUAGAACUUCGUAGAAAGUGAGAAACGAGAGGAAGCUUUCUCAGGCGGGAUAAAGCCAAGGAAUGCGUAAAGUUAUAACAACCGGAACAUUCACAACCCAAGCUUUUACUCACAAAUAAUUAUGAAAUCGGAAAUACUGAAUCGAUAAUCAGGGUGGAAUAUCACAUAUUCCAUGCGUCCGUUCGCGCCGUUCAUUUGCAGGUGCUGUCGUUCCUUGUUUAUUAGAAAUAAAGUGCAUGGAUAAACUCGAAGCCUUACAUUCUGCAUGAGGAAACCAAUGGUCGGAUCGGCUGUAAUCUCGGCGUUAUUUUUUUUAAGAAGAUUAAAAGUGUUUUCUGGCGCGUGCCACACCUCAUAAUCGCAGCGUUAAUACUUUUAGCUUAACCGACCGCAAAGUGUAAGAACUCGAACACACGCGUCACAAGGAUGUCGAUGCCUUUUUGUGGAGUUUGCCAGAGAAUGGCUAAUCUACGUUUUCUACGCAUCUCAUUAAACUAGCUCAUUCUACAAACCUAUUCUGCUGCUAGUCAUCUUGGCAAAAAUUACUGGCAAGAUUUAUCCACCCUUAUCGAUUAAAAUCUCCUGUAUUCUGGAUUCAUAGUUGCGUGAGUCCGCUACCAAUCAGAGGAAUUACAAUAAAUGUUUUUAGCGUUUUUAAAGCUAUGUGUAUACAAAGAUUAUAUUCAAACGAUGAUUGUAUAGCCCUGUUUGAGAUGCACGAAAGAUAACACUUCUCUUUUUUACUCCCUCCUACUGUGUAAAACGUAACCAUUGUUUCGUUUUAUUAAAUAUUUUGAGCAAAAUGAAUCGUUCUUCGCCCUAAACAUAGCCUGUGAAUGAACCAUUAUACGUGUAUCUCGACAUGAUACCAGUUUCCAGAUUUACUUAAGACCAUAAAAUCGAGACUAAUCAACGCACACCAUCUUGGGAAAUAGGCUUUUUUUCGCGCGAGCCUUGUAUAUGAAAUCCUUCUAGUGCAAAGCCUCAAAUCUAACGUUUUCUCCCCUUUGGCUCUUCAAGAAGCAAUUCGUGCUGUUUGUAGGUAAAAGUUCAUUCCAAGAGACUAUGAAGUCUAAGGGAGUAGUCCGUUACACUAUAGUUUGAACCGGACCUAAUGAUGCGGUAUACGAUGAUGGGCUGACUUACCUUGAAGACGUUACGUCUGUUGUUGUAAUCAGUUCUCGCCUGAAAACAAA